Molecule: long non-coding RNA, 816 nt
Organism: Cucurbita pepo subsp. pepo (vegetable marrow)
Lineage: Eukaryota; Viridiplantae; Streptophyta; Magnoliopsida; Cucurbitales; Cucurbitaceae
Source: RefSeq, a predicted model, not a curated record
GAUCAAUUGUUACAGAAAUUUAACCUAAUUCUUCGGUUAUCUUUGCUGCACAAAGAGGCGGCAAAGAUUUUACUGCGCUUGGAAUGUAUGCACUCCCGUGACUCAUUGUUCUGCUUUUCUACUCUGCGAGGGUUUCUCGCCAUGGAAUCUUCCGCUUCGUCGUUGCUCAUGGCGCUUCUAAGUUUCUCGGCGACCUUCCGUCUAGUGGCUUACCGUUCCUUCUUCAAAUCCGGUAAUGCUUUUUCUCGAAUCGCACUUUGAUUUGAAAUUUGCUCUUUUGUGUUCUGUUCUGUUCCGAAUUUAGAUAAGGAAAAAUUCAGUACGCACAGUUUAAUCGAUCAUUUUGACCUGAAGCCUCGGAAAUUAGACAAUUUCGUGUUUUGUAAUAAUGCAUUUGAGUCUCAGAUGGCAUUUAUAAGAGGAGUUGAAUCGUCUACGUUAUUGAAUUAUAAAAGAAUGCUUUAAGGUUCUCUCGUAUGCCUACUGUCAUUUUGCAGGCUUCCAUAAUAUUAGCCAUCAAGGACCAGAUGUUUACAGGAUGAAUUACUUGCCCGCCUAAGAAGCGCUGAUGUUGACAACCGCUAAAGGAGUUGAGACACCGGCAAUCUCCAUGAACAUGAGCCAAGCAACCCAAAUCGAGGAAGUUGUGGAUUACUUUCUUUCUCAACAUUUAAAUGUGUAAAAUUAGGAACAAAGCAUAAUAUCUUCAAGUUGAACUGACGGUGGUUUUGGAAAACAAAAGUUCGUCAUGGUUAUUUGUAUCCAUUUUGAUGAUGAGAAAAAACGUUCUUACCUAAAUUAUUGAGAUUCUUACCA